Long non-coding RNA from Canis lupus familiaris (dog), 671 nucleotides. RefSeq lists it as uncharacterized. The transcript is spliced from 3 exons. The record is from RefSeq and is a predicted model, not a curated record. Lineage: Eukaryota; Metazoa; Chordata; Mammalia; Carnivora; Canidae.
CAAGCAGCCAGCGAACCGCCCGGGCUUCGGGGUGGGGGCGGAGAGGGGUGUGCGGAGGAGGCCCGAUUUCUAGCAGUCUUAGCUUCAAAUUCGAAAUCAGGACCUGUUUGGGGGCGUCACUUUGAGAGGGUUCCUCGGCUCUCUCUAAUUCCGGGAGCUCUCCCUCCCUCCCUCCUCCCUCCCUCGCAAAUGCCCCCAGGGCUGGACGGGCGGCGUGCGGGGCGCUCCGAGGCGCGCUCCCACGCGCGCACACCCAGCCCCCAGGCUCCCCCCUUUCUUCUCGCACUCGCUUCCCCACGCCCAGACUGCGUUCGUCUCCUCCCCCGGAGGGGCCGGGGCUCGGAAGCCCCUCUCCGAGGCGCGACUUGGGUUUAGUUCCCUCAGGGGCUGAGGAGCUGUCCGUGAGGUACGUCGGCCUCGUGCCCUGAGGAGAAACUGGAGACGCCGGUCUCUGCUCUCUCCCGCCGCUACGAUGCCGCGCCGGGUCCUGCCAGCCUUUGCGCGAGGAGUGUGAGCGGGAACGGCCCCGACCUGCCCCUCAGAAGCCUGAAACCAAGGCAAUACUAAAGCAAAAGUCUGAUUUCAGCCGUCUCCGCCCCUCAGAGAUUCUCUUUCAACUCCCUCCAGGAGUGAGAGAGCACAAGGAAGGCAGAGGGAGAUGGAAAGAGAGA